AUUCGCGUCUGAGAAAACGUG
This 21-nucleotide small nuclear RNA is filed under the name Arabidopsis thaliana (thale cress). Its description in RNAcentral is "snRNA_06792". Lineage: Eukaryota; Viridiplantae; Streptophyta; Magnoliopsida; Brassicales; Brassicaceae. The record is from RNAcentral.